GGGGGUUUGGGGGAAAUAAAUUGACGCCUUGUACUUAAAAUCCGUUGGCUGGAUACAGCCGUGGGGGUUCAAGUCCCCCC
RNAcentral lists this transfer RNA (80 nucleotides) under Phormidium boryanum NTDV18. RNAcentral describes it as "tRNA-Leu". Lineage: Bacteria; Bacillati; Cyanobacteriota; Cyanophyceae; Oscillatoriales; Oscillatoriaceae. The record is from RNAcentral.